Molecule: ribosomal RNA, 433 nt
Filed under: uncultured bacterium
Lineage: Bacteria
Description: bacterial SSU rRNA
Rfam family: Bacterial small subunit ribosomal RNA
Source: RNAcentral
AACGAACGCUGGCGGCAGGCCUAACACAUGCAAGUCGAGCGAACCCUUCGGGGUUAGCGGCGGACGGGUUAGUAACGCGUGGGAAUAUACCCUUUGGUACGGAAUAGCCUCGGGAAACUGAGAGUAAUACCGUAUGUGCCCUUCGGGGGAAAGAUUUAUCGCCAAAGGAUUAGCCCGCGUUGGAUUAGAUAGUUGGUGGGGUAAUGGCCUACCAAGUCUACGAUCCAUAGCUGGUUUGCGAGGAUGAUCAGCAACACUGGGACUGAGACACGGCCCAGACUCCUACGGGAGGCAGCAGUGGGGAAUCUUAGACAAUGGGCGCAAGCCUGAUCUAGCCAUGCCGCGUGGACGAUGAAGGCCUUAGGGUUGUAAAGUCCUUUCAGAUGGGAAGAUAAUGACGGUACCAUCAGAAGAAGCCCCGGCUAACUCCGUG